GAUGAACGCUGGCGGCGUGCCUAAUACAUGCAAGUCGAGCGAACGGACGAGAAGCUUGCUUCUCUGAUGUUAGCGGCGGACGGGUGAGUAACACGUGGAUAACCUACCUAUAAGACUGGGAUAACUUCGGGAAACCGGAGCUAAUACCGGAUAAUAUUUUGAACCGCAUGGUUCAAAAGUAAAAGACGGUCUUGCUGUCACUUAUAGAUGGAUCCGCGCUGCAUUAGCUAGUUGGUAAGGUAACGGCUUACCAAGGCAACGAUGCAUAGCCGACCUGAGAGGGUGAUCGGCCACACUGGAACUGAGACACGGUCCAGACUCCUACGGGAGGCAGCAGUAGGGAAUCUUCCGCAAUGGGCGAAAGCCUGACGGAGCAACGCCGCGUGAGUGAUGAAGGUCUUCGGAUCGUAAAACUCUGUUAUUAGGGAAGAACAUAUGUGUAAGUAACUGUGCACAUCUUGACGGAACCUAAUCAGAAAGCCACGGCUAACUACGUG
Molecule: ribosomal RNA, 497 nt
Filed under: uncultured bacterium
Lineage: Bacteria
Description: partial 16S ribosomal RNA
Rfam family: Bacterial small subunit ribosomal RNA
Source: RNAcentral